AUAUUUAUUUCUAAUCUGAGUUCAGAACUUGAUAUCUAAGCAUGGACCAAUGAUCAUCAUUAUUGAGAGAUAUGAUAAGGAUGAUCUUUGCUGAUUGCUUAUAGCCGCACACGCAUUCGACCUAUAUAAAAAGUCGACUCAAAGCUCCGAUCUGAUAGAUCUUCUCAAGAGUGCUAGCUCAUGUGAAGAUCUUCUUCUUGGCUGAUCUGGAUUUCUUCUUCAAAUAUCUGAAAUCUUUUUAGAGAUUGAAGAUGGAUUUCUAGAGGAAAAGAAGAGAUAGAAAAAAGAUGGAGAAGAAAUCCUAGAAGACUAGAUUUUGCGCACACCCC
Molecule: long non-coding RNA, 329 nt
Filed under: Elaeis guineensis (African oil palm)
Lineage: Eukaryota; Viridiplantae; Streptophyta; Magnoliopsida; Arecales; Arecaceae
Description: long non-coding RNA (EGUI_LNC055563)
Source: RNAcentral